Molecule: transfer RNA, 85 nt
Filed under: Felis catus (domestic cat)
Lineage: Eukaryota; Metazoa; Chordata; Mammalia; Carnivora; Felidae
Rfam family: tRNA
About the family: Transfer RNA (tRNA) molecules are approximately 80 nucleotides in length. Their secondary structure includes four short double-helical elements and three loops (D, anti-codon, and T loops). Further hydrogen bonds mediate the characteristic L-shaped molecular structure. tRNAs have two regions of fundamental functional importance: the anti-codon, which is responsible for specific mRNA codon recognition, and the 3' end, to which the tRNAs corresponding amino acid is attached (by aminoacyl-tRNA synthetases). tRNAs cope with the degeneracy of the genetic code in two manners: having more than one tRNA (with a specific anti-codon) for a particular amino acid; and 'wobble' base-pairing, i.e. permitting non-standard base-pairing at the 3rd anti-codon position.
Source: Rfam by way of RNAcentral
GCCUGGGUGGUUCAGUUGGUUAAGCAUCUGACUUUGGCUCAGAUCAUGAUCUCAAGGUUCAUGGGUUAGAGCCCCGUGUCGGGCU